CGUACACUCCUGCGGGAGGCAGCAGUGGGGAAUUUUGGACAAUGGGCGAAAGCCUGAUCCAGCCAUGCCGCGUGCAGGAUGAAGGCCUUCGGGUUGUAAACUGCUUUUGUACGGAACGAAACGGCCUUUUCUAAUAAAGAGGGCUAAUGACGGUACCGUAAGAAUAAGCACCGGCUAACUACGUGCCAGCAGCCGCGGUAAUACGUAGGGUGCAAGCGUUAAUCGGAAUUACUGGGCGUAAAGCGUGCGCAGGCGGUUAUGUAAGACAGUUGUGAAAUCCCCGGGCUCAACCUGGGAACUGCAUCUGCGACUGCAUAGCUAGAGUACGGUAGAGGGGGAUGGAAUUCCGCGUGUAGCAGUGAAAUGCGUAGAUAUGCGGAGGAACACCGAUGGCGAAGGCAAUCCCCUGGACCUGUACUGACGCUCAUGCACGAAAGCGUGGGGAGCAAACAGGAUUAGAAACCCUAGUAGUCCCA
Molecule: ribosomal RNA, 476 nt
Filed under: uncultured organism
Description: partial 16S ribosomal RNA
Rfam family: Bacterial small subunit ribosomal RNA
Source: RNAcentral